This 240-nucleotide unclassified non-coding RNA is filed under the name uncultured Chaetosphaeriaceae. RNAcentral's name for it is "sequence contains ITS2". The record is from RNAcentral. Lineage: Eukaryota; Fungi; Ascomycota; Sordariomycetes; Chaetosphaeriales; Chaetosphaeriaceae.
AACGCACAUUGCGCCCGCCAGCACUCUGGCGGGCAUGCCUGUUCGAGCGUCAUUUACACCCUCAGGCCCUGCCUGGCGUUGGGGCCCUGCGCGCGCAGGCCCUCAAAGACAGCGGCGGGUGCGCCCGGGACCGAACGUAGUCAUUCUUCUCGUUCUGGCACCGCGGCGCGCUCCGGCCGUUAAACCCCCAACUUGCAGUUCGUUGACCUCGGAUCAGGUAGGAAUACCCGCUGAACUUAA